This 86-nucleotide microRNA precursor is filed under the name Daphnia pulex (common water flea). RNAcentral's name for it is "microRNA dpu-mir-193 precursor". Its record names the gene dpu-mir-193. Lineage: Eukaryota; Metazoa; Arthropoda; Branchiopoda; Diplostraca; Daphniidae. The record is from miRBase by way of RNAcentral.
AAUGUUUUUACUUUUCGGGAUUUAGUGGAUCAGCUGUUGAUUUAUGUAAAAUACUGGCCUGCUAAGUCCCAAAAAGUGAAAAUUCA